AUGCAACUGCAACAGAUGUUGAAAAUUCACACGUGGAUCCCAAAGGCGUAUAUAAUUAUGAACAUAAAUCUAUGCAUAUUGUGUUUGAACGGAUGACUAAAACGUUUGUUGAAAAAUUGUAAAUUACACCAAAUUUCCGAGAGAACGAGUGAUGCAAUCUCAAAUGUGGUCAGUCGUGCUGAUAGUCCUUGUCCUAUCAUGUGCGACACAGUGUAUGCCUGGCUCGACAAAGUUCUUGGCGAACAGGCAUGCAGCAAAGAAGAAUGUAUUCAAAAGGGAAGCAAUCGGAGCUAAAGAUGGACAAAACGUGAUUUUACCAGAUGUUUCCAAGAUUUCAGACAGAAAACAGAACAAGAAAGAUAUAUAUUAUAUUAAUGUAUUUCGUGGAUAAAGAGGUUGAUAUUACAUUGAAGUAAUUAAAUCUCAUUUCAUAAUUAAAAACAUUUUAUUACAUGUUAUUAAUGAAAACAGAUAUUACAUUGCAUAAAAUUGCAUUUAUAAAUAUAUAGAAUAUUAAUUGCUAUCUCAACACGAAAUGAUAUUUAAACAAUCAAUUAUUUACUUGUGUAUUUUAUAAUAAGGUGUUGUCUUCACUCAGACUAAGAGCCGUCUUCUGUAAUAUGUGUAUGUGAUUUUGUUUUAUGUGUUUAAAUAGGACUCGAUAAUGCAUUCUAAUUAGAACAGUGAACAAUAUAUGUCAAAGCAAAACUUUAUUCCAAUAAAUGAUCAAAUGGA
This is a long non-coding RNA of Mya arenaria, 735 nucleotides long. RefSeq lists it as uncharacterized. The transcript has 2 exons. NCBI's taxonomy places the organism in Eukaryota, Metazoa, Mollusca, Bivalvia, Myida, Myidae. The record is from RefSeq and is a predicted model, not a curated record.